This 147-nucleotide unclassified non-coding RNA is filed under the name uncultured Lecanoromycetes. RNAcentral describes it as "sequence contains ITS1". Lineage: Eukaryota; Fungi; Ascomycota; Lecanoromycetes. The record is from RNAcentral.
CCGAGUGAGGGCCCUCGGCCCGACCUCCAACCCUUUGUUGACCAACACCUGUUGCCUCGGGGGCGACCCGGACGCCGACGCGUCGGGCACCCCGACGGACCACUUUAACUCUGUAUCUGUACGUCGGAGUUCUUUGCGAAUCAAUUA